CGCCGCGUGGAGGAUGAAGGUCUUCGGAUUGUAAACUCCUUUUAUAGGGGAAAAUAAUGAUGGUACCCUAUGAAUAAGCCACGGCUAACUCUGUGC
This 96-nucleotide ribosomal RNA is filed under the name uncultured bacterium. RNAcentral's name for it is "partial 16S ribosomal RNA". It matches the Rfam family "Bacterial small subunit ribosomal RNA", at positions 395 to 508 of the family's 1533-position model. The record is from RNAcentral.